Molecule: unclassified non-coding RNA, 20 nt
Filed under: Mus musculus (house mouse)
Lineage: Eukaryota; Metazoa; Chordata; Mammalia; Rodentia; Muridae
Description: oocyte_clustered_small_RNA4655
Source: RNAcentral
ACCAGCAAGAAAGACACGAC